GACGAACGCUGGCGGCGUGCCUAACACAUGCAAGUCAACUUGACUGAAGGAGCAAUCUGACAGUAGAGUGGCGCAAGGGUGCGUAACGCGUAAGUAACUUGCCCAAGGUAAGGAAUAACGUCGAGAAAUCGGCGCUAAUACCUCAUAAUGCAGCGGAUCCGCAUGGAUAUGUUGUUAAAGGUUUACCGCCUUGGGAUAGGCUUGCGUCUGAUUAGCUAGUUGGUGUGGUAAACGGCACACCAAGGCUACGAUCAGUAACUGGUCUGAGAGGAUGAUCAGUCACACUGGAACUGAGACACGGUCCAGACUCCUACGGGAGGCAGCAGUGAGGAAUAUUGGGCAAUGCUCGAAAGAGUGACCCAGCAACGCCGCGUGGAGGAUGAAGGUAUUCUAUAUCGUAAACUCCUGUGAGAGCAGACGAAAGACAGAUUAUUAAUCUGGAUGACUGUAUGCUCAGAGG
RNAcentral lists this ribosomal RNA (460 nucleotides) under uncultured bacterium. Its description in RNAcentral is "bacterial SSU rRNA". It matches the Rfam family "Bacterial small subunit ribosomal RNA", at positions 28 to 487 of the family's 1533-position model. The record is from RNAcentral.